Molecule: ribosomal RNA, 136 nt
Organism: Vicugna pacos (alpaca)
Lineage: Eukaryota; Metazoa; Chordata; Mammalia; Artiodactyla; Camelidae
Source: Ensembl
GUCUAUGGCCAUACCACCCUGAAUGCGCCCAAUCUUGUCUGUUCUCAGAAGCUAGACAGGGUCGGGCCUGGUUAGUACUUGGAUGGGAGUUGACUGAAGGAAGGAGAGGGCUGGGAACACUCAAAAGCUUUGGUUU